This is a long non-coding RNA of Balaenoptera acutorostrata (minke whale), 2168 nucleotides long. RefSeq lists it as uncharacterized. NCBI's taxonomy places the organism in Eukaryota, Metazoa, Chordata, Mammalia, Artiodactyla, Balaenopteridae. The transcript is spliced from 4 exons. The record is from RefSeq and is a predicted model, not a curated record.
UUGGAGCGAGCCGUGCGAGGACGUAGGGAAGGAUCGGCUCCCCGAUUCACGAGAUCACGAGGAGGGUUUGUCUGGAGUGGAGAGCGAGGGCAAGGGAGGGAGAAAGCAGUCAAAGUUAAGCAGAAGAGGAAGCGUUCUGUGUUUCUCUGCUGUCCCGGCUCCUUUAACUUCAGCCUGCCUGCUGCCCUGUGUCCCCCUCAGCUGGUCUGGCCUUCUCCUCCUGUGCCCCUCAAGGGACAGAGAAAUAUUCAGAUGUGACCCUGGGACCCUCUAAAGAUGAAGAAGAGGACAGCCUCCAGCAUAUACCCCCAUGGCAAUGCAUUCUGAGGUCCACACAUGGAAGGCAGAGAGAGCUGGCCUGGAAGUGUCAGGGGGACUGGGGCCGUGCGGGAGGGAGGCUGCCCUGACCAGCCUGCCACAGUCCUUUGGCAAGUAGACCCUGGACGAAUCCAGCCAUCACUUUGGCUGAGCUUCUUUCUUCCCAUUCUGUCCUUUCCCCUGCAUCUUGUCGACUGUCAGGAUCGGGCUGUGCUACGAUUAGUAGUCUUUAAAGUAUGACUGUCUUUGCUGGCAUUUAAAGUUGAAGAAAUUAGGUGAAAAAUCACAAGUGAGUUCUUCCCUUUCUCUGUGGAGCCGAGAGGGACCUUGGAAGCCACCCGAUUGAGCCUCCGUAUUUUAAAGAGGAGGAACCUUCGGCACGAGGGGCUUGCUGGGGUCGCAUGGGUUGCCUCACGGAGUGUGAGCUGUACCGGGCAUCUUAGAUUACAGGAGGGGGGUGCCUGCCCCCUAGCAGGGGGGACGUUUCCUCGGCUCCUACAGACUGACUGCCUGUGGGCUCCUGGGCUCAGCCAGAUUAAGGCAGCAUCUCCAUUAGGUCCUGAGCAAGUGUGACGCUUCUCAGUACUUCAUGUGCACUUUGGGUUUUAAAUCAGAUGAGUUUGGAAAGCAGGCAGGGCCGGCUUCACGGGUGUGCCACCCCCUCAGGAGGAGCCCACCCCUGGCUUAAUGCUCCGCUGUGACCAGCUUGGAAUUCUUAAUAAUUUUGGAACAAGGGGCCUCCACGUUUUCCUUUUGCACUGGGCUCUGCAAAUUAUCUAACUGGUCCUAAAUGUGGGACAGUGCCUUAAAAUGCCAGUGAUUUGAUCAAUCUGCUCCUGUAACUGAUUUGAAUUUUGAGAACAUGCUGUUCCCGUUGAAUAAAGGAGGAUUUCUUUCUUUUCCCUCGAAUAUACUGUGUUUUGUUUUCCCAAUUAGCCCUGCUUACCAGCUUUGUUGAGAAUUUGGAGAGCGCGAUUGUUCUUGCUGGAAGGGAAGGUUGCGUUGUUAAUCCUGAAUCCUGGCUCUGAGUCCUCAGGCCUGGAAGUGGGAAGUGUGUCCCCACAACUGCAGGAGCUGCGGGGGACUGGAGGCUGGGUGAAGGGCUGGGACCUGGAAGGGAGGCCACAGAGGCAGAGCAAAGAGUCCAGCUGGGGAGCCAGACAGAUGUCUCCCGCCUCUGCCGCUCGCCAGCUCUGAAGCUUGGAGCAUCGUGCUUGACUUCUCUGAUCCUCUGUUUGUUUCCCUAUCUCUGUAGACUGGAGGUAAGAUCCUCCCUGCAGGUUUGCAGGAGUGGAGAGUGUGCAUUAAGGAAUCUUGGGAGAUAGAGCUGGGGACUCAAAGCCACGUGAUGGAGGGAGUUGUAGAUGAGACAGGAGAUGGGGAUGUCCUUGGGGGUCCUGCGGUAAGUUCAUGCACCCCAAGUGGCAAUUACUCAGGGGAGACACCGAAAAUGGGCCAGGCCUGCCCGAAUUAGAAUGUAGAAGUGGGAUUCUUAGAAGUUUCAGAAGUGUGGGAGGAGACUUUUGGAGGUGUUGUGAUGUACCGGGGAGGCUGAGCGCAGGGCUGAGAACUGGGAGGUGAUAACCCAGCUCGUGGCCUCGAGACGAGCGUGGGGUUUAGUGCUUUUUGUGCUUUUCUCAUUCAGGACUCCCAACUCCCAGAAGUCGUGGUAUUAUCUCCAUGUUGCAGGAGGGGAGACUGAGGCUUGGACAGGGAGAGCCGCUGCCUGAAGCGACACAGCUGUGAGGGGCAGAGAGUCAGGACUGGAGGCCAGGUCUGCUCUGGAGUCACUCUGGCAUUAACGAGGAGGCUUGCGACCUUACCCAGCCUUGCUGACCCUGCUAGGAAUG